GACGAACGCUGGCGGCGUGCUUAACACAUGCAAGUCGAACGGAAAGGCCCUGCUUUUGUGGGGUGCUCGAGUGGCGAACGGGUGAGUAGCACGUGAGUAACCUGCCCUUGACUUUGGGAUAACUUCAGGAAACUGGGGCUAAUACCGGAUAGGAGCUCCUGCUGCAUGGUGGGGGUUGGAAAGUUUCGGCGGUCGGGGAUGGACUCGCGGCUUAUCAGCUUGUUGGUGGGGUAGUGGCUUACCAAGGCUUUGACGGGUAGCCGGCCUGAGAGGGUGACCGGCCACAUUGGGACUGAGAUACGGCCCAGACUCCUACGGGAGGCAGCAGUGGGGAAUAUUGCACAAUGGGCGGAAGCCUGAUGCAGCAACGCCGCGUGCGGGAUGACGGCCUUCGGGUUGUAAACCGCUUUCGCCUGUGACGAAGCGUGAGUGACGGUAAUGGGUAAAGAAGCACCGGCUAACUACGUG
Molecule: ribosomal RNA, 468 nt
Filed under: uncultured bacterium
Lineage: Bacteria
Description: partial 16S ribosomal RNA
Rfam family: Bacterial small subunit ribosomal RNA
Source: RNAcentral